GGGCGGCGGCGCCGGGGGCCGCGGGCGGGCCGGGACGAGCGCCAAGGGCGCACCUGGCGGCGGCGCGGCCCGGCCGGACUGCCGGAGCAGGCGCGGCGGCGGCGCUGGUGGCGAGGAUGUCGCAGCCGCCUCUGCUCCCCGCCUCGGCGGAGACUCGGAAGUUCACCCGGGCGCUGAGUAAGCCGGGCACAGCGGCCGAGCUGCGGCAGAGCGUGUCGGAGGUGGUGCGCGGCUCAGUGCUCCUGGCCAAACCAAAGCUGAUUGAGCCACUCGACUAUGAAAAUGUCAUCGUCCAGAAGAAGACACAGAUCCUGAACGACUGUUUAAGGGAGAUGCUGCUCUUCCCUUAUGAUGACUUUCAGACGGCCAUCCUGAGACGACAGGGGCGGUACGUAUGCUCCACCAUCCCUGCCAACGCACAGCAGGAAGCUCAGAGCUUAUUUGUUACAGAGUGCAUCAAAACCUAUAACUCUGACUGGCAUCUUGUGAACUACAAAUAUGAAGAUUACUCAGGAGAGUUUCGACAGCUUCCAAACAAAGUGGCCAAGUUGGAUAAACUUCCAGUUCAUGUCUAUGAAGUUGAUGAGGAGGUGGACAAAGAUGAGGAUGCUGCUUCCCUCGGCUCUCAGAAGGGUGGGAUCACCAAGCACGGAUGGCUAUACAAGGGCAACAUGAACAGUGCAAUAAGCGUGACCAUGAGGUCGUUUAAAAGACGAUUUUUCCACUUGAUUCAACUUGGUGAUGGGUCCUACAAUUUGAAUUUUUAUAAAGAUGAAAAGAUCUCCAAGGAACCAAAAGGAUCAAUAUUUCUGGAUUCCUGUAUGGGUGUGGUUCAGAACAACAAAGUCAGGCGUUUUGCUUUUGAGCUCAAGAUGCAGGACAAAAGUAGUUACCUUUUGGCAGCAGACAGUGAAGUGGAAAUGGAAGAGUGGAUCACAACUCUGAACAAGAUUCUCCAGCUCAACUUCGAAGCUGCAAUGCAAGAAAAGCGAAACGGAGACUCUCACGAAGAUGAUGAACAAAGCAAAUUAGAAGGUUCCGUUUCCGGUUUAGAUAGCUACCUGCCUGAACUUGCCAAGAGUACCAGAGAAGCAGAAAUCAAACUGAAAAGUGAAAGCAGAGUUAAACUUUUUUACCUGGACCCAGAUGCCCAGAAGCUUGACUUCUCAUCAGCUGAGCCAGAAGUGAAGCCAUUUGAAGAAAAGUUUGGAAAAAGAAUUCUUGUCAAGUGCAAUGAUUUAUCUUUCAAUUUGCAAUGCUGUGUUGCUGAAAAUGAAGAAGGACCCACUACAAAUGUCGAGCCUUUCUUUGUUACUCUAUCCCUGUUUGACAUAAAAUACAACCGAAAGAUUUCUGCCGAUUUCCACGUGGACCUGAACCAUUUCUCAGUGAGGCAGAUGCUGGCCAUCACAUCCCCGUCUCUGAUGAACGGCGGUAGGCAGAGCUCGCCUGCCCUGCAGGACAUCCUUCACGAAGCCGCCAUGCAGUAUCCGAAGCAGGGAAUAUUUUCAGUCACGUGCCCUCAUCCUGAUAUAUUUCUUGUGGCUAGAAUUGAAAAAGUGCUUCAGGGGAGCAUCACACAUGGUGCGGAGCCAUACAUGAAAAGUUCAGACUCUUCCAAGGUUGCCCAGAAGGUGCUGAAGAAUGCCAAGCAGGCAUGCCAAAGACUAGGGCAGUACAGAAUGCCAUUUGCUUGGGCAGCAAGGACGUUGUUUAAGGAUGCAUCUGGAAACCUUGACAAAAAUGCCAGAUUUUCUGCUCUCUACAAGCAAGACAGCAAUAAGCUAUCCAAUGAAGACAUGCUCAAGUUACUUGCAGACUUUCGGAAACCUGAGAAGAUGGCUAAACUCCCCGUGAUUUUGGGCAAUCUAGACAUUACAAUUGAUAAUGUUUCCUCAGACUAUCCUAAUUAUGUCAAUUCAUCAUACAUUCCUACGAAGCAAUUUGAAACCUGUACUAAAAUGCCAAUCACGUUUGAGGUGGAGGAAUUUGUGCCCUGCAUACCAAAACAUACUCAGCCAUACACCAUCUACAACCACCACCUUUAUGUUUAUCCUAAGUCCUUGAAAUAUGACAGUCAAAAGUCUUUUGCCAAGGCUAGAAAUAUUGCUAUUUGCAUUGAAUUCAAAGAUUCAGAUGAGGAAGACUCUCAGCCUCUGAAGUGCAUUUAUGGCAGACCUGGCGGGCCAGUAUUCACAAGAAGCGCCUUUGCUGCAGUUUUACACCAUCACCAAAACCCAGAAUUUUAUGAUGAGAUUAAAAUAGAAUUGCCCACCCAGCUACAUGAAAAGCACCACUUGCUGUUCACAUUUUUCCACGUCAGCUGUGAUAAUUCAAGCAAAGGAAGCACAAAGAAGAAGGAUGUUGUUGAAACACAAGUUGGAUAUUCCUGGCUUCCUCUCCUGAAAGAUGGAAGGGUGGUGACUAGCGAGCAGCACAUCCCUGUCUCAGCCAAUCUCCCGUCCGGCUACCUUGGCUACCAGGAGCUUGGGAUGGGCAGGCAUUAUGGUCCAGAAAUUAAAUGGGUAGAUGGAAACAAGCCACUGCUGAAAGUUUCAACUCAUCUGGUUUCCACAGUGUAUACUCAGGAUCAGCACUUGCAUAAUUUUUUCCAGUACUGUCAGAAAACCGAAUCCGGAGCCCAAGCCUUAGGGAGUGAACUUGUAAAAUACCUUAAGAGCCUGCACGCGAUGGAAGGUCACGUGAUGAUCGCCUUCUUGCCCACCAUCCUAAACCAGCUAUUCCGUGUCCUCACCCGAGCAACCCAGGAGGAAGUCGCCGUCAACGUGACACGGGUCAUUAUUCAUGUGGUUGCCCAGUGCCAUGAGGAAGGAUUGGAGAGCCACUUGAGGUCAUAUGUUAAGUAUGCUUAUAAGGCUGAGCCGUAUAUUGCUUCUGAAUACAAGACGGUGCACGAAGAGCUGACCAAAUCCAUGACCACAAUUCUCAAGCCUUCCGCCGAUUUCCUCACCAGCAACAAACUACUUAAGUAUUCAUGGUUUUUCUUUGAAGUUUUGAUCAAAUCCAUGGCUCAGCAUUUGAUAGAGAACUCCAAAGUUAAGUUAUUGCGAAACCAGAGAUUUCCUGCAUCCUAUCAUCAUGCAGUGGAAACUGUUGUGAAUAUGCUGAUGCCACACAUCACUCAGAAGUUUCGAGAUAACCCAGAGGCAUCUAAGAAUGCGAAUCAUAGCCUGGCUGUGUUCAUCAAGAGAUGUUUCACCUUCAUGGAUAGGGGCUUUGUCUUUAAGCAGAUCAACAACUACAUCAGCUGCUUUGCUCCUGGAGAUCCUAAGACCCUCUUUGAAUACAAAUUUGAAUUUCUCCGUGUGGUGUGCAAUCAUGAACAUUAUAUUCCGUUGAAUUUACCAAUGCCAUUUGGAAAAGGCAGGAUUCAAAGAUAUCAAGAUCUCCAGCUUGACUACGCAUUAACGGAUGAGUUCUGCAGAAACCACUUCUUGGUGGGACUGUUACUGAGGGAGGUGGGGACCGCCCUCCAGGAGUUCAGGGAGGUCCGGCUGAUUGCCAUCGCUGUGCUUAAGAACCUGCUGAUAAAGCAUUCUUUUGAUGACAGAUAUGCUUCCAGGAGCCAUCAAGCAAGGAUAGCCACUCUCUACCUGCCUCUGUUCGGUCUGCUGAUUGAGAAUGUCCAGCGGAUCAACGUGAGAGAUGUGUCUCCCUUCCCCGUGAACCCUGGCAGUACUGUGAAGGAGGAAUCCCUUACUUUGCCAGCCGUGAACCCGAUAGUGACACCGCAGAAGUCUGGGAGCACGCUGGAUGCCAGUCUGCACAAGGACCUCUUUGGUGCCAUCUCUGGCAUUGCUUCUCCAUAUACAAACUCAACUCCAAACAUCAGUAGUGUGAGAAAUGCUGAUUCAAGAGGAUCCCUCAUAAGCACAGAUUCCGGGAACAGCCUUCCAGAAAGGAAUAGUGAGAAGAGCAAUUCCCUGGAUAAGCACCAGCAAAGUGGCACUUUGGGAAAUUCUCUCGUUCGCUGUGACAAACUUGACCAGUCUGAGAUUAAGAGCCUGCUGAUGUGUUUCCUCUACAUCUUAAAAAGCAUGUCUGAUGAUGCUUUGUUUACAUAUUGGAACAAGGCCUCAACAUCUGAACUUAUGGAUUUUUUUACAAUAUUGGAAGUCUGCUUGCACCAGUUCCAGUACAUGGGGAAGCGAUAUAUUGCCAGGAACCAGGAGGGGUUGGGACCCAUAGUUCAUGAUCGAAAAUCUCAGACAUUGCCUGUUUCCCGUAACAGAACAGGAAUGAUGCAUGCCAGAUUGCAGCAGCUGGGCAGCCUGGAUAACUCUGUCACUUUUAACCACAGCUAUGGCCACUCGGACGCAGAUGUUCUCCACCAGUCGUUACUUGAAGCCAAUAUUGCUACUGAGGUGUGCCUGACAGCUCUGGACACCCUCUCUCUAUUUACACUGGCAUUUAAGAACCAGCUCCUGGCUGACCAUGGACAUAAUCCCCUCAUGAAAAAGGUUUUUGACGUCUACCUGUGUUUUCUUCAAAAACAUCAGUCUGAAACGGCUUUAAAAAAUGUCUUCACUGCCUUAAGGUCGUUAAUCUAUAAGUUUCCCUCAACGUUCUAUGAGCGGAGAGCGGACAUGUGUGCAGCCCUGUGCUAUGAGAUCCUGAAAUGCUGCAACUCCAAGCUGAGCUCCAUCAGGACCGAGGCCUCCCAGCUGCUGUACUUCCUGAUGAGGAACAACUUCGACUACACUGGCAAGAAGUCCUUUGUCCGGACGCAUCUGCAGGUCAUUAUUUCCGUCAGCCAGCUGAUAGCAGACGUCGUUGGCAUUGGGGGAACCAGAUUCCAGCAGUCCUUGUCUAUCAUCAACAACUGUGCCAACAGUGACAGGCUGAUCAAGCACACCACCUUCUCCUCGGACGUGAAGGACCUGACCAAAAGGAUCCGCACAGUUCUGAUGGCCACGGCCCAGAUGAAGGAGCACGAGAAUGACCCCGAGAUGCUGGUGGACCUCCAGUACAGCCUGGCCAAGUCCUACGCCAGCACCCCCGAGCUCCGGAAGACGUGGCUGGACAGCAUGGCCCGGAUCCAUGUCAAAAACGGGGACCUGUCCGAGGCAGCAAUGUGCUAUGUCCAUGUCACAGCCCUGGUGGCAGAAUAUCUCACACGGAAAGAAGCAGACCUAGCCCUCCAGCUGGAGCCGUCCUUCCUCCCCUCCAGCCACAGCAUCUGCCAGAGGAGGCGCCGGGGAGGCAUGUUUAGACAAGGAUGCACAGCUUUCAGGGUGAUCACCCCGAACAUAGAUGAGGAGGCCUCCAUGAUGGAAGACGUCGGCAUGCAGGACGUCCACUUCAACGAGGACGUGCUCAUGGAGCUCCUGGAACAGUGUGCAGACGGACUCUGGAAGGCCGAGCGCUAUGAGCUGAUCGCCGACAUUUAUAAGCUCAUCAUCCCCAUCUACGAGAAGCGGAGGGAUUUUGAGAGGCUGGCCCAUCUGUAUGAUACACUGCACCGAGCCUACAGCAAGGUGACCGAGGUCAUGGCACUCAGGCCGAAGGCUUCUGGGGGACAUACUUCCGAGUAGCCUUCUUCGGACAGCAAUACCAGUUUACAGACAGUGAAACAGAUGUGGAGGGAUUCUUUGAGAUGAAGAUGGAAAGGAGUAUAUCUACAAGGAACCCAAACUCACACACCUCUGUCAGAAAUUUCUCAGAGACUCCUUAAACUUUACUCAGA
RNA transcript from Balaenoptera musculus (blue whale), 5707 nucleotides. It is a transcript of the gene named dedicator of cytokinesis 9, with no coding region annotated. The transcript is spliced from 50 exons. The record is from RefSeq and is a predicted model, not a curated record. Lineage: Eukaryota; Metazoa; Chordata; Mammalia; Artiodactyla; Balaenopteridae.